This 460-nucleotide ribosomal RNA is filed under the name uncultured bacterium. RNAcentral describes it as "partial 16S ribosomal RNA". It matches the Rfam family "Bacterial small subunit ribosomal RNA", at positions 338 to 795 of the family's 1533-position model. The record is from RNAcentral.
CCUACGGGAGGCAGCAGUGAGGAAUAUUGGUCAAUGGUCGCGAGCCUGAACCAUCCAAGUAGCGUGAAGGAUGACUGCCCUACGGGUUGUAAACUUCUUUUAUAAAGGAAUAAAGUGAGGCACGUGUGCCUUUUUGUGUGUACUUUAUGAAUAAGGAUCUGCUAACUCCGUGCCAGCAGCCGCGGUAAUACGGAGGAUCCGCGCGUUAUCCGGAUUUAUUGGGUUUAAAGGGAGAGUAGAUGGGUUGUUAAGUCAGUUGUGAAAGUUUGCGGCGCAACCGUAAAAUUGCAAUUGAUACUGGCAGCCUUGAGUACAGUUGAGGUAGGCGGAAUUCGUGGUGUAGCGGUGAAAUGCUUAGAGAUCACGAAGAACUCAGAUUGCGAAGGCAGCUUACUAAACUGCCACUGACAUUGAUGCUCGAAAGUGUGGGUAUCAAACAGGAUUAGAUACCCCAGUAGUC